GGGCCCUUAGCUCAGUGGUAGAGCGCUCCCCUCGCACGGGAGAGGCCGGGGGUUCGAAUCCCCCAGGGUCCA
This 72-nucleotide transfer RNA is filed under the name Microcaldota archaeon. Its description in RNAcentral is "tRNA-Ala". It matches the Rfam family "tRNA". From Rfam's summary of the family: Transfer RNA (tRNA) molecules are approximately 80 nucleotides in length. Their secondary structure includes four short double-helical elements and three loops (D, anti-codon, and T loops). Further hydrogen bonds mediate the characteristic L-shaped molecular structure. tRNAs have two regions of fundamental functional importance: the anti-codon, which is responsible for specific mRNA codon recognition, and the 3' end, to which the tRNAs corresponding amino acid is attached (by aminoacyl-tRNA synthetases). tRNAs cope with the degeneracy of the genetic code in two manners: having more than one tRNA (with a specific anti-codon) for a particular amino acid; and 'wobble' base-pairing, i.e. permitting non-standard base-pairing at the 3rd anti-codon position. The record is from RNAcentral. Lineage: Archaea; Nanobdellati; Microcaldota.